This 72-nucleotide transfer RNA is filed under the name Muusoctopus johnsonianus. RNAcentral's name for it is "tRNA-Leu". The record is from RNAcentral. Lineage: Eukaryota; Metazoa; Mollusca; Cephalopoda; Octopoda; Octopodidae.
AUUAAGAUGGCAGAGUUAGUGUGAAGGACUUAAGAUUCUUUUAGGAAAAUUGUUUUGUAUUUUCUCUUAAUA